GCGGAUGUGGUGAAAUUGGUAGACACGCUGGUCUUAGAAGCCAGUGCCCUAGGCGUGAGAGUUCGAGUCUCUCCGUCCGCACCA
This 84-nucleotide transfer RNA is filed under the name Pigmentibacter ruber. RNAcentral's name for it is "tRNA-Leu". It matches the Rfam family "tRNA". Rfam says of the family: Transfer RNA (tRNA) molecules are approximately 80 nucleotides in length. Their secondary structure includes four short double-helical elements and three loops (D, anti-codon, and T loops). Further hydrogen bonds mediate the characteristic L-shaped molecular structure. tRNAs have two regions of fundamental functional importance: the anti-codon, which is responsible for specific mRNA codon recognition, and the 3' end, to which the tRNAs corresponding amino acid is attached (by aminoacyl-tRNA synthetases). tRNAs cope with the degeneracy of the genetic code in two manners: having more than one tRNA (with a specific anti-codon) for a particular amino acid; and 'wobble' base-pairing, i.e. permitting non-standard base-pairing at the 3rd anti-codon position. The record is from RNAcentral. Lineage: Bacteria; Pseudomonadati; Bdellovibrionota; Oligoflexia; Silvanigrellales; Silvanigrellaceae. RNAcentral also lists the same sequence under 1 other name.